This 541-nucleotide ribosomal RNA is filed under the name Colletotrichum gloeosporioides. RNAcentral's name for it is "eukaryotic LSU rRNA". The stretch from base 168 to 321 matches the Rfam family "5.8S ribosomal RNA". Lineage: Eukaryota; Fungi; Ascomycota; Sordariomycetes; Glomerellales; Glomerellaceae. The record is from RNAcentral.
GGUUUCGCUCUAUAACCCUUUGUGACAUACCUAUAACUGUUGCUUCGGCGGGUAGGGUCUCCGCGACCCUCCCGGCCUCCCGCCUCCGGGCGGGUCGGCGCCCGCCGGAGGAUAACCAAACUCUGAUUUAACGACGUUUCUUCUGAGUGGUACAAGCAAAUAAUCAAAACUUUUAACAACGGAUCUCUUGGUUCUGGCAUCGAUGAAGAACGCAGCGAAAUGCGAUAAGUAAUGUGAAUUGCAGAAUUCAGUGAAUCAUCGAAUCUUUGAACGCACAUUGCGCCCGCCAGCAUUCUGGCGGGCAUGCCUGUUCGAGCGUCAUUUCAACCCUCAAGCUCUGCUUGGUGUUGGGGCCCUACAGCUGAUGUAGGCCCUCAAAGGUAGUGGCGGACCCUCCCGGAGCCUCCUUUGCGUAGUAACUUUACGUCUCGCACUGGGAUCCGGAGGGACUCUUGCCGUAAAACCCCCCAAUUUUCCAAAGGUUGACCUCGGAUCAGGUAGGAAUACCCGCUGAACUUAAGCAUAUCAAUAAGCGGAGGAA